GACCUACGGGGGGCAGCAGUGGGGGAUAUUGCACAAUGGGGGAAACCCUGAUGCAGCGACGCCGCGUGAAGGAAGAAGUAUUUCGGUAUGUAAACUUCUAUCGGCAGGGAAGAAAAUGACGGUACCUGACUAAGAAGCCCCGGCUAACUACGUGCCAGCAGCCGCGGUAAUACGUAGGGGGCAAGCGUUAUCCGGAUUUACUGGGGGUAAAGGGAGCGUAGGCGGGUCAGCAAGUCAGAAGUGAAAGCCCGGGGCUCAACUCCGGG
RNAcentral lists this ribosomal RNA (266 nucleotides) under uncultured bacterium. RNAcentral describes it as "partial 16S ribosomal RNA". It matches the Rfam family "Bacterial small subunit ribosomal RNA", at positions 334 to 619 of the family's 1533-position model. The record is from RNAcentral.